This 751-nucleotide ribosomal RNA is filed under the name uncultured Actinomyces sp. Its description in RNAcentral is "bacterial SSU rRNA". It matches the Rfam family "Bacterial small subunit ribosomal RNA", at positions 28 to 776 of the family's 1533-position model. Lineage: Bacteria; Bacillati; Actinomycetota; Actinomycetes; Actinomycetales; Actinomycetaceae. The record is from RNAcentral.
GACGAACGCUGGCGGCGUGCUUAACACAUGCAAGUCGAACGCUGAAGCCUAGCUUGCUGGGUGGAUGAGUGGCGAACGGGUGAGUAACACGUGAGUAACCUGCCCUCUUCUUUGGGAUAACGCCCGGAAACGGGUGCUAAUACUGGAUAUUCACUGGCCUUCGCAUGGGGGUUGGUGGAAAGGUUUUUUCUGGUGGGGGAUGGGCUCGCGGCCUAUCAGCUUGUUGGUGGGGUGAUGGCCUACCAAGGCUUUGACGGGUAGCCGGCCUGAGAGGGUGACCGGUCACAUUGGGACUGAGAUACGGCCCAGACUCCUACGGGAGGCAGCAGUGGGGAAUAUUGCACAAUGGGCGAAAGCCUGAUGCAGCGACGCCGCGUGAGGGAUGGAGGCCUUCGGGUUGUAAACCUCUUUCGCUCAUGGUCAAGCCGCAACACUUGGUUGUGGUGAGGGUAGUGGGUAAAGAAGCGCCGGCUAACUACGUGCCAGCAGCCGCGGUAAUACGUAGGGCGCGAGCGUUGUCCGGAAUUAUUGGGCGUAAAGGGCUUGUAGGCGGUUGGUCGCGUCUGCCGUGAAAUCCUCUGGCUUAACUGGGGGCGUGCGGUGGGUACGGGCUGACUUGAGUGCGGUAGGGGAGACUGGAACUCCUGGUGUAGCGGUGGAAUGCGCAGAUAUCAGGAAGAACACCGGUGGCGAAGGCGGGUCUCCGGGCCGUUACUGACGCUGAGGAGCGAAAGCGUGGGGAGCGAACAGG